Molecule: long non-coding RNA, 1104 nt
Filed under: Chrysemys picta bellii (western painted turtle)
Lineage: Eukaryota; Metazoa; Chordata; Testudines; Emydidae
Description: lncRNA (ENSCPBG00000026654.1)
Source: RNAcentral
UAAGCCAUUAACUCUUCAUUUUUAAGUACACAGAAAGCAAUAAACAAUGUUUUUGAAUGCCUAUUAACAGUAAAGCAUAAUAACUCUUCUUUUUCAGAGUCUGAGGGUCACAUUCCCCUUCCUAUUACAGCAAGUGGAGAGUAACCACACCCAGCAGAAUUUGCUUUUGUAGUUUAGAAGCAGGGUAAUCCUAUCGCCAUGUCCUAUGGAUUCCUCUCUGAAAUCCCACAGCAACGCAGGACUGGAUUGUGUUUUGUAACCACUGCUAUGCUAGGAUGUAUGGAGGUAUAUAGCUGGAAGCAUUCUAUCUGCUGGAGACUUGAAGGCAGAAUGACUGAGGUUUCUGCAAGUUCACAUAUGGAGUAACACCUGUGACAGACAUGGAACUGAUAUGUGAUAAUAUGAACACUGUGGUGCAACAAUUUUAUGAACAUGAUAUGUGACCUAGUCAGUGAGGGGAAGUUACUGUAUAUUGGGAUUAUAAUACUUUCCCAUGUGAGUGCAUUGAUCUAGUUCAAUAGGGGGCACAGGAAAGAACAAAGAGGAAAGCAGCACAAUUGUCCCUUCUAAGGAACCGCCUAGGAAACAUUGAGAGCAAUUACAAGACAAUGCUUCUGUGCUCUGGGCCAAAGUGACACAGCUGUUCUGCCAGGCUGUGAGGCUAAGGAUUAAAACAAAAAUGUAACCAGACCAAUCACUAAAAUAUUAAAAAGACUUCUGAGGAAGAGAAUGGAGGUGAGUUGCAGGGGUGUCCAAGGUGUUGUCAGUGAGUUCUGGCAGGGAGACAAGCCGACACGGAGACCGACUCUGCAGAGAGAGUCUAGAAAGGAACUAGCCUUGCCAGGGUCCCCAUGUGGCAGACGGCUAGAUACAUGGUAAGCAGGCAUGCAGACAUUUGUUUAUUGAUUUCAAGAUAUGUUUUCUCUGCAAUGCUUUUGUUCUAAGUAAACGAUACUUUGUUUAAAGGAGGCUGUCUGGUUACCACUUGCCACUGCCAUUGCCCCAGAGAGAACAGAGCUGCAGAGUCUGUCUGGUGAAGAUAUUCUGUGCCGACAAAACAGAGCUCUCUUGCCGACAUAAUAAAGCUACCUCCAUUAACUGUCA